This 257-nucleotide non-coding RNA is filed under the name SAR92 clade bacterium. Lineage: Bacteria; Pseudomonadati; Pseudomonadota; Gammaproteobacteria; Cellvibrionales; Porticoccaceae. The record is from RNAcentral.
UCUCUUGCUUCUGCAGUAGGUUCUUUUUUUACAGCCACGACGGUUGUGUAAAAAGUUAAACGGGAAGUCGGUGCGCGUUGCCAAGACAGGGCACGCUAUUCCGACACUGCCCCCGCAACGGUAAAUAAGAUUGUUUGGCAUUAGGCCACUGUGCAUCUGUGUAACAGCAACCGCAUGGGAAGGCGUCAAAUAGAGUGACUCGAUUUUUCGGUUGCUCACUUAUGAGUCCGGAGACCGGCCUAUCGCAAUGCAGACAA